RNAcentral lists this ribosomal RNA (497 nucleotides) under uncultured bacterium. RNAcentral's name for it is "partial 16S ribosomal RNA". It matches the Rfam family "Bacterial small subunit ribosomal RNA", at positions 28 to 507 of the family's 1533-position model. The record is from RNAcentral.
GAUGAACGCUGGCGGCGUGCCUAAUACAUGCAAGUCGAGCGAACGGACGAGAAGCUUGCUUCUCUGAUGUUAGCGGCGGACGGGUGAGUAACACGUGGAUAACCUACCUAUAAGACUGGGAUAACUUCGGGAAGCCGGAGCUAAUACCGGAUAAUAUUUUGAACCGCAUGGUUCAAAAGUGAAAGACGGUCUUGCUGUCACUUAUAGAUGGAUCCGCGCUGCAUUAGCUAGUUGGUAAGGUAACGGCUUACCAAGGCAACGAUGCAUAGCCGACCUGAGAGGGUGAUCGGCCACACUGGAACUGAGACACGGUCCAGACUCCUACGGGAGGCAGCAGUAGGGAAUCCUCCGCAAUGGGCGAAAGCCUGACGGAGCAACGCCGCGUGAGUGAUGAAGGUCUUCGGAUCGUAAAACUCUGUUAUUAGGGAAGAACAUAUGUGUAAGUAACUGUGCACAUCUUGACGGUACCUAAUCAGAAAGCCACGGCUAACUACGUG